This 253-nucleotide ribosomal RNA is filed under the name uncultured bacterium. RNAcentral describes it as "partial 16S ribosomal RNA". It matches the Rfam family "Bacterial small subunit ribosomal RNA", at positions 524 to 776 of the family's 1533-position model. The record is from RNAcentral.
UACGAAGGGGGCUAGCGUUGUUCGGAAUUACUGGGCGUAAAGCGCACGUAGGCGGAUUUGUAAGUCAGGGGUGAAAUCCCGGGGCUCAACCCCGGAACUGCCUUUGAUACUGGGGAUCUUGAGUUCGGGAGAGGUGAGUGGAACUGCGAGUGUAGAGGUGAAAUUCGUAGAUAUUCGCAAGAACACCAGUGGCGAAGGCGGCUCACUGGCCCGAUACUGACGCUGAGGCACGAAAGCGUGGGGAGCAAACAGG